GAUGAACGCUGGCGGCGUGCCUAAUACAUGCAAGUCGAGCGAACAGAUGCGGAGCUUGCUCCUCUGACGUUAGCGGCGGACGGGUGAGUAACACGUGGAUAACCUACCUAUAAGACUGGGAUAACUUCGGGAAACCGGAGCUAAUACCGGAUAAUAUAUUGAACCGCAUGGUUCAAUAGUGAAAGUCGGUUUUGCUGUCACUUAUAGAUGGAUCCGCGCCGCAUUAGCUAGUUGGUAAGGUAACGGCUUACCAAGGGAACGAUGCGUAGCCGACGUGAGAGAGUGAUCGGCCACACUGGAACUGAGACGCGGUCCAGACUCCUACGGGAGGCAGCAGUAGGGAAUCUUCCGCAAUGGGCGAAAGCCUGACGGAGCAACGCCGCGUGAGUGAUGAAGGUCUUCGGAUCGUAAAACUGUGUUAUUAGGGAUGAACAAAUGUGUAAGUAACUAUGCACGUCUUGACGGUACCUAAUCAGAAAGCCACGGCUAACUACGUG
Molecule: ribosomal RNA, 497 nt
Filed under: uncultured bacterium
Lineage: Bacteria
Description: partial 16S ribosomal RNA
Rfam family: Bacterial small subunit ribosomal RNA
Source: RNAcentral